GCUUACGGCCACACCGCCUGGUUCACGCCUGAUCUCGGAAGCUAAGAUAGUUUGGGCCUGGUUAGUACUUGGAUGGGAGACCGCCUGGGAAUACCAGGUGCUGUAAGCU
Ribosomal RNA from Scophthalmus maximus (turbot), 109 nucleotides. The record is from Ensembl. NCBI's taxonomy places the organism in Eukaryota, Metazoa, Chordata, Actinopteri, Pleuronectiformes, Scophthalmidae.